AGCCCGGUGGUAAACUGC
Molecule: unclassified non-coding RNA, 18 nt
Filed under: Mus musculus (house mouse)
Lineage: Eukaryota; Metazoa; Chordata; Mammalia; Rodentia; Muridae
Description: oocyte_clustered_small_RNA5648
Source: RNAcentral